Molecule: ribosomal RNA, 818 nt
Filed under: Pediococcus acidilactici
Lineage: Bacteria; Bacillati; Bacillota; Bacilli; Lactobacillales; Lactobacillaceae
Description: bacterial SSU rRNA
Rfam family: Bacterial small subunit ribosomal RNA
Source: RNAcentral
CCUGGAAACAGAUGCUAAUACCGUAUAACAGAGAAAACCGCCUGGUUUUCUUUUAAAAGAUGGCUCUGCUAUCACUUCUGGAUGGACCCGCGGCGCAUUAGCUAGUUGGUGAGGUAACGGCUCACCAAGGCGAUGAUGCGUAGCCGACCUGAGAGGGUAAUCGGCCACAUUGGGACUGAGACACGGCCCAGACUCCUACGGGAGGCAGCAGUAGGGAAUCUUCCACAAUGGACGCAAGUCUGAUGGAGCAACGCCGCGUGAGUGAAGAAGGGUUUCGGCUCGUAAAGCUCUGUUGUUAAAGAAGAACGUGGGUGAGAGUAACUGUUCACCCAGUGACGGUAUUUAACCAGAAAGCCACGGCUAACUACGUGCCAGCAGCCGCGGUAAUACGUAGGUGGCAAGCGUUAUCCGGAUUUAUUGGGCGUAAAGCGAGCGCAGGCGGUCUUUUAAGUCUAAUGUGAAAGCCUUCGGCUCAACCGAAGAAGUGCAUUGGAAACUGGGAGACUUGAGUGCAGAAGAGGACAGUGGAACUCCAUGUGUAGCGGUGAAAUGCGUAGAUAUAUGGAAGAACACCAGUGGCGAAGGCGGCUGUCUGGUCUGUAACUGACGCUGAGGCUCGAAAGCAUGGGUAGCGAACAGGAUUAGAUACCCUGGUAGUCCAUGCCGUAAACGAUGAUUACUAAGUGUUGGAAGGGUUUCCGCCCCUUCAGUGCCUGCAGCUUAACGCAUUUAAGUAAAUCCGCCCUGGGGGAGGUACGAACCGCCAAGGGUUGAAAACUCAAAAAGAAAUUGGACGGGGGGCCCGGCCACAAGCGGGU